Molecule: long non-coding RNA, 10774 nt
Filed under: Capsicum annuum
Lineage: Eukaryota; Viridiplantae; Streptophyta; Magnoliopsida; Solanales; Solanaceae
Description: long non-coding RNA (CANN_LNC009739)
Source: RNAcentral
AAAGAGUAUGUUAAUUGAUAAAUUUCUAUUUAAUUCCUAAUUAUUUUUAGAGAAAUUAUGAAAUAUUUACUUGAAUUAAGAAUAGAACCCUAUCUAAAUUAGAUUGCACAUUUGAUUUUAGGGAGGAAAUAAGUUGUUUUUUUUUUUUUUUUUAUGAAAAAUGAGAAUUAUAUGAUUAUUUAUUAUUAUUAUUAUCAUAAAAAUGGUCAUUUUGUUAUAAAUAACACCUUUGAAAAAUCUUAAGAAAGUAUCAUGUUAAAAAUAUUUUAUCAAUUAUGAGAAGUUAGAAUUUGCGAGAAAGAAAUUAACUUCUUGAGUUGAAGAAAAUUAUUUUUUAACCCAAGUGGAUUAUUAGUCAUAUGAACAAAACAAAUAUCAUUUUUGAAAUAAAGUACACAUUUUUAAAGACUUGUUUAAGAAAAGAGCCACAAGAGCCAAGUUAAUCUAUUUUUUAGAUAAGGUGACUACGUGAGAAAAAUUAUAAAAUAAGCAAGGAAUUUGUCAUAAAUUGAAUGACAACAAUGUGAAAAAUUACUAGAUUAAUUAAUUAAAAUUAGUGCUAAAGUAAAUAAACAAGCAUAAAUUGCAAAUUAUAAGUGAAUAAAAGAUUAAAAGUUAGAGUUGGCCCCUUUUUUGACCCAUCAGUGAGCUGCCCAGCUUUGGGCUUCAAAUUUUCUGAACUUUAGGUCCAUUUCCUGCAUCCAUAUCAGCUGUAUAUUGCAGAUUCAUUCCCUGCAUUUUUUUUGUGUAUAUACGGUGUGUAUAUAACCGUAUUUCAGUCACAUACACAUAACUUCAGCCCUCCCCCAGUAUAACCAGCUUCCUUUUCCAUUUCCAUUUUUCUGCAACUGUAUAUUUACGCAUAUCUGCAGUAUACCAGCAUUGUAUUGAUCUAAUCUCUUCAUGCAUUUGUCCAUUUUGGACUUGAUGUGGGUCUUGACUCAAUGAAAGUUGGGUUUAACCCAACGAAAUGCGAGGGAAGAGAGUCCGAGGGACUCAAUGGAGAAGUCCAUGCAUAAGAGACAAAAAGAUACGGAUUAGUAUCCAUACAAGUACGCUAUAAGGAUGAGAAUUAACCAAAAGAAAGAAAAGCAAAAUUAAUGCACCCUUGUCCUCCGCGAGACACAAAUCAUAAUAUGUAAUUACAAUUCAAGUGAUGAUUUUUCGUUCACAUCCGUUUAAUAUCCUCUACAUCAAAAAAAUAUACUUUGGCAUGUUUAAUUUAUAAACUGGAUAAAAUGUAUCAUAAAGAUGAUAAAAGAGUAAAACAAAAUAAAGUUGAUAUGAGUUUGAUGUACCAGUAAGUUUUUUAUAAAUGAGUUAACAUAGGCAGUUUAUCAACUCAAAGAACAUAUCAACUCAAAGAACAUGUAUUGGUUUCAAACAUAAUCAAAUGAGAAAAUAGUCAAAAGCCCCCACCUUUAACCCAAAUUCCAACUACACACUUAUACUUUGCAAGGGUCCUAUGACCCCUUUGAAUUAUUUUAAAAUGAAACUAUUACCCUUGAACUAUUUUAAAGUGGAAUAUCUACCCGUCUAAAAACUAAUACCCAGAUUUAAUUUUAAUUUAUGGUCUACACGCGCUGCCACGCGUCAUUCCACAUCAUAUUUCUUCUUUUUUUUACUAUAAAAAAUUAAUUCCACAUCAUAUGCCAUUCAAUUCUUCUUCUUCUUCUAUUUUUUUUCUUCUUCUUCAAUGACGACUUCUUCUUCUUCUUCAAUAGCAUAAUGAAUCAUAUGGAAUUCACACAAUAGGUAAUCUUAUUAAAAUCAAAUCAACAAUAAGUGUCUCGCAUGCAAUUACGUCUUUAAUUUAUAAUACCGCAGACCCUUUUUUUUCUUUUCCAUUUUUCUUCUUCUUCCUCCCCGCUUAAAACUUCAUUCGUUUUCACUCCGCCAGCAAUCUUGCUGUUUCUUUAGCCCCAAAUUUCAAUAAGUUUCUCCAGCUACCACUAUAAUUAGUUUUUACUUUUAUUGAUUCUCUAGAAAAAAUAAAAAUACAGUGAAAAAUACUUUCUUUCUUGCAAAAAUCUAACUUACUUUCAAUUUGAAUUGAUUCAACAUUCUCACAUAAUUCGAGUUCUUGGAUGUCAUUGAAGAAGAAGAAUAAGAAUGGAAGAAGAAAUGAAGAAGAAGAAUUGAAGAACAAGAAAGAAAAAUAAUAAUUAUAAUAGAAGAAGAAAUGCCAUUGAUGAGUUCUUGAAUGCCAUGGAUGCCAUUGAAGAAGAAGAAGAAAAAUUGAAGAAGAAAAGAAUGGAAGAAGAAGAAAUGAAGAAGAAAUAAAAAUAAUAAUUAAAAUUAUAUAUAUUUAUUUAAAGAAAUAUUAAAAAUAAAUUUUUAAGAAAUUAUUUUCGUUCUCACUCUCUUUUAAAGAAAGUGAAACACACUCUCUUGACAUGUCAGCGUUUAAGGGUAAUAAUUCCAUUUUAAAAUAGUUCAAGGAGGGUCAUAAUCCUUGCAAAGUAUAAGUAUGUAGUUAAAAUUUGGAGUAAAAGUUUGGGGCUUUUACUAUUUUCUCUAAUCAAAUUGAUGCCAAACUUUGCUACAACAUGCAAAAAAAAAAAAGUAGUUUCCAGACAAUAAUUUCAACAAGUGGCCAUAUAUUUCACAAAGAAGACCUCUAUUUUCAAUAGACUAAAACACUUUCAAACUCCUCAAUAUCAUAUUCAAAUCACAAAUGAGAUCAAUGAAUCCGUUUACUCCAAAAAUCAGGUUCUACUACUUUAAAAUUACAUAGUAAUAAAUAUGAAACUCAAUCCCUUUAAUUAAGAUUCACCUCCCCAUAGUUAAUGACAAACUGCACAUCGAUUGAUAUAAGAGGGAAAAUAUGGCUAAGAAUGUUACACAGACUCAGCCCCAAAUUAGAUUACAUAACAGGACAUCAUAUAACCACUGUCUUGAUUCAAAUCUGCCUUUAACACAAGCUCGGAAAAGAUAAAACACCCAAAAAAGAAAACGACAUCCUUAGCUUUUCCACGAGCAUGACGUAAUGGUGAACGAUACUUCCAUCAUAAAUUUCAAAACAAUCCACAUGCCAGUAUACUAUCAAAAAUUUAAAUUUUUCAAGAAUUCGCACGUAAUCGAAUAAACUCCCAAUGUCAACUGAUUCUAUCAUCAUUACCAUACAAUAAUGCAACCAGACAAGUCCACUCUCAUAAUUAUUGCAAGAUUAUGAUAUUUAAAUAUGAAGAAGAAAAAUGCAACAGAGAUGAAGUGUCACCUAUUUUUGAAUAGCGAACGGAGAUAAACGGGCUUAACGAUGUAACUUCUACCACCUAGACUCGAUUCCCAUCAAUGAAAUUUUGAACAGGCCUUCAAAUUUUGAUUCUUUUUUUUUGGAUGUUCUUCGAGAAUUUUUGAUUAAGUGAGAUUAGAAGCAUGCGCCUCCCAAAUCACCUCCGUAUUGCGUUGCAGACCUUAAAAAAGAAGUGGUAGGGUUUUCAAAUUUCAAAAUGUGAAUUUGGUUGAAUUUUUGAGAUGUUUUUUGAAUUCCACUUAAACUGAAUUUCUGUGAGAGAGGUGAAGAAAAGACUUGGGGGUUACUUCUUUGCCCGAAAUAGACUGAAAAAGAUGAAAGCCCUCUGAAUUUUAGCCAUGAAUGACUGUACGAGAGGGCAAAAUCAUAAAUGAGGGGUCUGGGUUUUUUCCCGUUGUUGGCUGUCGUUACUCUGUUACACGACGUUGGCACAGCUGUUGUGUGCGUUUGAUGUUGUUCGAUGCUGUUGUGAUAACGUUGCUGUUACAGUGUGAUAUCGCUGGGUUGUUGUUGUUGCUGUUACACUGUUGUUCUUGUUUGGAAGCUGUUAACGUUGUACGCUGUUUCUGGUUGUCGGUGGAUUUCUGUAUGUUAGAAAAGAGGAUUAAAAGGUGGGCUUGAGUGGACAAAUUCAGGUUGUUUUGGGCUGGUACAAUUGUUAUUGAAUUGGGCCUUGCUGUGGGGGCUGGGUUGUGGGUUGAUUUAGGUUGGGCUGAGGUGGAAGAUUAAAAUGGGUAAAUUGGUGGCCUAUAAAAAAUGGAAAAGGGCUGAGUGGAGGGUUUUUGGGGUAUUUUCAAUUGUAAAAAUUAGUCAAUUUUAAUUUAAAAUCUAGCUAAAUUGAAAAUUAAUCUAUCAGUUGUAUUACAAUUGUGGUCUAAUUAAUUUCAAUUACGUCCAAAUUCAGUGAAUCGACUAAAUCGAAUCAAAAUUCGAAAUAAAUUAACAAUUAAUUUAAUCCCGAGUUUCUUGAUUUAAUAAAAUCAAACAAAUAUUUUUCAAAAUAAAUUAUUUUUGAGACUAAAUUAUAUUCGAAUCAAAAUUUUAACCAUUUGAAUUAGUUUUUAAGAUAACCCUUGAUUAAAAUGUAAUUUUUGUAAAAUAAUUAUUUAUAUAACGAAAUUAUACAAUCUCGUAUAUAUGGAUACAAAAACAUAUAAUCGUUACUUAAGACGACCAAAUUACCUAUAUAAAUACUUGAGGGAAUUUUUAUUCGGAUCAAAUAAAUGUUGUAAUUUUAUUUAAAAGCGACGAAAUUUAGGGCUAAACUUGGUAGUGAAGAGCAAAAAUUAGGUGUCAACAUUUUUCAUUAUAAAGAACCACUUAAGAACCCUUCAAGAAUUCUUUCUUCUCUCUCCAUUUUUAUUGUACUUACUUUAUAUUUCAUAACAGUGGUAAUACUUUUCUUGAAUUGUAAAGAAUGUCUUAAAAUUAUUUUAUAAGCUUAAUUUAAUAUAGCGAGUAAAAUUGAUUUUUUUAAAAGUAUAGAUAAAUCUCAUAAUUAUUCUUUUUGAAUAGUAAGUUUAAACUCAUGUUUUUUUUAAUUAAAAAUGAGCUUAAGGUAUAAAGUUAAUUAGUAUAUAAAAUAUAAUUAAAAUUUUCCUGAAAAAUGAUAUUAAUAUUUGUGAUAUUUAUAAAAAUUAAUGUAUUGUAUAAAUUCAAAUAGUUAUUUAAGUUAUGUAUAUAAUGUUAAUUUAGUAUAUUAACUUUAUUAAAUUAAACAAAUGCAUUAAUUAAGAAUGUCAAAUAAGUAUGUAGAAAAAUACUACACUUUUUUCUCUGUUUUUAAAUACUUGUCAUGCUAAUUAAAAAUAGAUGUAUUCCAUAAAAUUUGUAUUUUUUAUUAAAAAUAUAUAUUUUAUAAUGUUCUUGUCAUUUUAAAAAAUCAAAAGGUAUAAUUUUACAAGUAUUUAUUUUCAUCUUUAUUUGUAGUCAUAAAUAUGAAGAUACAUUAUUAAUUUAGUGUAAAAGAAUUAAGUAUUAAAUUGAGAGAAGUAAUAAAUAGAUAAAGCUAAAUUAAUCUGAUUAGUCUCCACUUAAUAUUUUUCCUAAGAGGGUGCAAACUAAUGCGAUGAAGUAUUUAGGAACGAGAUGGUCUUACUUUCUGAUCCAUGUCCGACAAAUAAUUUCUAUAAUGCAAAUUUUGGGGAAUCUUUUAUAUAUUUGGAUAUGCAAUUCUGAUUUUUCUUUAAAAAGUAAUGACGAAUUCUCAAGGAAACUCAAAGUGGAAAAAUGGACAUUGUAGUUAUAGUUUUGUAUGUUUAAUAUAUUUUACCAUGACAACUGAAGCAGUGGUCACAAGAAAGAGAUGAAACGAUAUGAGACGUUAAGAUCUGUUGAAGAUUAUCAUCGUUGGGGUACUAGCGACUCGACAAGCAUUGAAAAGUGCGUUACAAAAUGGCUGGUCAAAGAUUUAGUGGGCGUUUGACCAUGAAAAUUAAAAUUUUUGAUGUUAAGAGUUGAAGUUGUGUUUGUCCAUGAAUAUAAUUGGAGUUAUUUUUAAAUUUUUGUGAGAGAAAGAAGAUGAAAAAAAGUGAAAACAAUUUUUUUUUGUUUUUCACUUUUUCAAAUACAAUUUCAAGUUUUAUUUGAAAUUCUCAUUGCCAAACAUCAACUUGAGGUUGCAUUUUUCAUAAAGAAAUUUUUUUUUUUUCGAAAAAAUAAAAAAAUUCUCAUGGCCAAAUGAGCUGUUAUAUAGGACGCACAAAAUAUGGUGCAAGUGCUACGAAAAAUGACAAUGUCCUAAAAAUUACAUAUUACUUGUGAAAAUAUACGGAGAUUGGUUAAUUCUUUUGUGGAGAUUAACUCGCUUGGAACGUGCUAGCUUGUAAUAUAGCUCAAUUCUCUCUUUUGAUUUCACAUGGAAUUUCUUGCGAAUCUGAUUUCCCGUCAUGUUACUAAAAGUUUUAUCCAAAAAAGUUAAUAACCUUGUCUAACCAUAAUCAACUUCAAAAGAUAUUCACUUUACAAGUUUAAAAGAUUCACGACCAUAUAAUAAAUGUAUAUCACAUUGUAUAUCAUGUAUAUUAGUGUUUAAAAUGAAACUGAGAUUUGAAUCAAUAUACAAGCAUACAUAUAGAUCAAUGUAGCUUGAAGACUAAAAGGUUCAACUUUACAUUACUCAAUACCAUCUCAUUCUAAUAUUGAUUAAACUAAUCAAUAUGAAGUCAAUAUUGCACCAACUCUCUUAGUCUGGAAGAACACUUGGACAUAUACUAAUUAGUAUUACUUAUGAAUAAACUAUUUAUGACUAUUGAAAUGAAUUGGGAUUAAUUAUAUGACUUUUUUUAUAUUCGUGUUCAUUUCAAUUUAGACCCUUUCUCUCAUUGUAAAUUGUUUUACCUAAAUAUGUAACGUUUUUAAGAGAUUUUAGGUUUUGUGGAGUAACUAACUUCUAUAUUUCUAAUCUCCAUCUUUUUUCAAUGAAUUUUCUCGGGUCCAUCUUUUUUGAUAACUUUUCAUAUGUCACACUUACACAAAAAAGGGCAUCUAAUAGUCUAUAUUACACACGACCAAAUUAUCUUAGGCAAGUUCUUUCAUUUUAAUUGUUUAAGUUCAUUCUUUGUACACAAACAAUUCCUAACAUAUUCUGCCAGAAUCUUCACAAAUUAUAUCCCCAAUAAAGAUAUAUGUUGAUAUGCCCUUUUCUACACUACUGUAUAAGUAUAUAUGUUUGAUUAUGUGGGAUUUCAUGAACCAAAACAUCAAUAUCUUUAUAGAAGUUGAUUAUGUUUUUUUUUGUACUAGUGUUCACUUUUACAACUUUAUCAAAAUUGAUUUUGCAAUUAUUUCCUUAUGAUUCCUAUUUUAUCAGUAAAAUAGCAUUUCAUUUAGUUUAUGCCACUUAAUUUAUUAAAAUACAUAAAAAAUGAUAUCUAGACAUAAUAACAUUGGAUCACACCCCUUGACAAAGACAUUUCUUUAACGGGGUGAAAAAGAUGCAUCUAUACACUAGGAAAAGGUUUCAAGGUUGAUCCUCUACAUUAUGUAACUGGACUAUUUAUUUUUUAUUUUAACAAAUUAAUUUAAAAACAAGUGAACUAGACACUUGGACAUUUGAAAAUAAACAUAUCUUGCUAAGAAAUAUCAUUUUUACUUGUUAGGAUAAUUACACUUGUAUUAAAGGGCAGCUCGGUGCACUAAAGCUGCCGCUAUGCGCGUGUUCGGGAAAGGGUCCCAUCACAAGGGUGUAUUGUACGCAACGUUACCUUGCAUUUCUGCUAGAGGCUAUUUCUAAGGUUUGAAUUCGUGACCUCCUGAUCACAUGACAAUAACUUUACCAGUUACUCCAAGGCUGCCCUUCGAUAAUGACACUUGUAUACAACAACUAAUAACAAUAAGGAUAUUCUUGUUCAAAGAUUUAAGACUUUUCAUGAACUGAAGCUUAAAAGAAAUUGAUAUCUUAUAGCCACUUCUAACUUCACUUUCGAAAGAUGUAUCCCCUCAAAAUACUAUAUGCAUCCAGUGGUCCAAAUACACACGAAAAUGCAACGCUCUGUUUUAAAAAAUGGAAGAGGGUGAACUGAAUUUAGUUAUUGAAGACUUGCAAAUCGAGUAUCAAUUUAUAAAUUUCAAAGUAAACAAUUAUUAGAAGUUUUAUCCAAAAAAGUUUAUGAAUCUUGUAUCUAAACAAAAUCGACUUCAAAAGAUUUUCAAUAUCACGAGAUCGGAANNNNNNNNNNNNNNNNNNNNNNNNNCAUGUUGUAUAUCAACAUAUAAAAUUGAGAUAAUACAUAAAUAUGACCAUAAACUUGACAUCAAAUUAUAACUUUAACCUUAAACUUUGACAGUGCACAAAUAUGACCUUCGAUCCUAUGUAGCAAAACGCGUAUUCAACACGCAAAACUGGGCGUGUCCAGCUUAAAAUCUAAGGGAAUAAUACAUAAAUAUGAUCUUAAACUUUGACAGUGCACAAAUAUGACCUUCGAUCCUAUGUAGCAAAACGCGUAUUCAACACGCAAAACUGGGCGUGUCCAGCUUAAAAUCUAAGGGAAUAAUACAUAAAUAUGAUCUUAAACUUUGACAGUGCACAAAUAUGACCUUCGAUCCUAUGUAGCAAAACGCGUAUUCAACACGCAAAACUGGGCGUGUCCAGCUUAAAAUCUAAGGGAAUAAUACAUAAAUAUGAUCUUAAACUUUGACAGUGCACAAAUAUGACCUUCGAUCCUAUGUAGCAAAACGCGUAUUCAACACGCAAAACUGGGCGUGUCCAGCUUAAAAUCUAAGGGAAUAAUACAUAAAUAUGAUCUUAAACUUUGACAGUGCACAAAUAUGACCUUCGAUCCUAUGUAGCAAAACGCGUAUUCAACACGCAAAACUGGGCGUGUCCAGCUUAAAAUCUAAGGGAAUAAUACAUAAAUAUGAUCUUAAACUUUGACAGUGCACAAAUAUGACCUUCGAUCCUAUGUAGCAAAACGCGUAUUCAACACGCAAAACUGGGCGUGUCCAGCUUAAAAUCUAAGGGAAUAAUACAUAAAUAUGAUCUUAAACUUUGACAGUGCACAAAUAUGACCUCCCUCCAAGUCAGCCCUUUUAACGAUGUGACACCGUGUGAUUGGAUUACCUUUUCACGUAGGUGCGAGUGAAACUCACGCAUGUGAUUGCAAAAUCGUAGGUCAUAUUUGUUCAGAUUUUGAAUAGUUAAAGGUCCUAUUUGUGCACUAUCAAAGUUUAAGGUCAAAGUUAUAAUUUGGUGUCAAGUUUAGGGUCAUAUUUAUGUAUUAUCUCUAUAAAAUUGCAUUGAUAUUUUCACUGAUAUACAUAUAUACAUAAGACAAGCCGAUAUACAUGAAUUUAUAUGGUGAUAUACAUGAAGGAAUAUAUGUAUGGAGUCUUGUAAAACAACUCACUUUAGAAUGAUUUAAAUUUAAAAGGAGUUAAUCAUUCAAUUCACUUGAUAAUAUUAUUAGAAUACAAUCUCAGUCUACACAUAUUUUUUAGAAAAUAAUUAUUUUCUGCUGAUGUAAUUAUAUUUUUGCAUGCUACAAAAUAAAUAAUUAAUUUACGCCCCAUGAGGUUAUGUCAAUUAAUUGAUUUAAUGUGACGAUUAAAUAAAAAUACUUUUUACUUGAAUUAUAUUAAAAGGUGUAAAGACCUAUUGCAAUUAGUCUUUAAAUUGUGUCACAAUCUUAGUCCACACCCUGAACGAGAUAUGGUCCUUAGAACCACAAGUAAUCCUGAGCCAACUCUUGGCAUAACUUAUCUAAAUAUAAUAUGAAAAAAACUAAAGCGAACACUGUAAAUUAAAAGAUAUGAAAAUAAAUUUCAAAGAUAAAUCUAUUACAACUAAAUACACUACUUAUGUCUGAAAGCUUCUACUAAAAGAAUGAAUUGUUGGAACAAAUCCCCAACUAACUCAAAUAUUAGAAUACUAGAAAGACUGAAAUAAGAAGACAAAACGACUAAGAUAAGUCCCCGAAUAACGAGGACUCACCAACUGUUAAACUAUGAAAUGCCACUCUCCACAAGCCUGAGAACGAUUGCUCGUAUCUACAUCAAAUGAAAAAUAUAGAUAAAAGAGGUACGUGAUCAUUACGUUUGAAUGUAUUGAGUAUAAAGGAAUGGCUAAAUAAUUGAAAUCAUAUAAAUGACAUAAAUAGAUAAAAGAGCCACAAAUGACACAUUUAUAAAUGUAAACAUAAAAUAAUAAUAAUAAUAAUAAUAAUAAUAAUAAUAAUAAUCAACUAUGCAUAAGUUUAACUAAAACCAUGAUAAAAGCUUUAUGAGAAAUACAUAUCUGAAAUCGUAUUAUGAAGAGUCAUAAAAUGAUCAUAUCAAAGGAUGUCAAAGCAAAGCAAAUACUUUUAGGGGGUGAAAAUCUAAAGAAAAUUAUAAUAUCUAAAAUUUGAGUAAAAGUUCAUUUAGAGAUAAAGUAAUGAAGUCAUACAUUUGUAAUAACUAAAAUUGAAUCCUAUAUGAAUUUAAAUAUCUGAAGGAUGCAUAUAUGAAAUCAUGUUAUCUAAAGUUAUUUCAUAUUCAUAUUCAAUGAAGUAAAAAAAUAAAGAAAAUAUUAUAGGUGAGAGUUUUUUUAUAACCAAACAUCACUUGAGCUAGUAUGUUUAACGUCUAACUCAGUUGGGAGGACUGACCCAUACUUUAUCAAGAUAUAGGACCUAUCUAUCUAUAUAUGGAUUCACUAAUCUGAGCCUUUUAGGGCUAAAUGAUCAACUGAAAUUGCAGAAUCCUAUGGUGGCACGUAUUUAUGAAACUUGAGCUAUCUAGAAUCCUCAUUCACUCGGCGCUAAAUACUACUCCCAAAACUAUUUUAUAAUCAUAUACUCAAUAAUAAUUUAAAAAUCAACGUCGAUCUAUUGUAAAUAUCAAAAUUUUAUAAAAAAUUAUAUCUUGAAACUAUCAUAAACUUUACCCUUCCAUGGGCUUAAUCUAUCUUCUUGAAUAUCCAUAAUAACAUAAACGUUCUAAAAUAUUGCUUUAAAAUAUAAGCUUUAACAAAAAUAUUCAUGAUCAUAUCAGAAAUUAAAAGGGCAAUAAGAACCUUGCUAAGUAUAACAAGAAAAUACA